Molecule: long non-coding RNA, 516 nt
Organism: Aedes aegypti (yellow fever mosquito)
Lineage: Eukaryota; Metazoa; Arthropoda; Insecta; Diptera; Culicidae
Exons: 2
Source: RefSeq, a predicted model, not a curated record
UAUGAAACCUGCGUAUCCAAGGAAAAUCUGUUGAACAUCGAAGUUCACAUGGUGAAAAAAUCUAAUGCUUUGGUAUCAAUGUCAUCCAUUCUUCCGAAGAAUGUUGUACAAAUUACGUCUGUGAUUUUGCACCUGCCCUACCCUUAGUAAAAAUAUGUUGCUGAAGUCAAAACCCAAAGCGAUGAAGCGGAUCCAAGUGACCUCGCAUGAUAUUGCCCACCUGCCUGGCUGAUCCAUCCCGUCGCUCUACCGAUACGCGUUGGAAGCGCUGGAGGCGAGCAUAAUUUUCCACUCUCCAACAAAGAACUACUUCAGUCGACUAUAAACAGGUUGUCUAGCAUAUCAAGAUUACCAAACGAAGAAAUAAAUUAUGAAUGGCACUUCAUAUGGCUCUAUCGGAUUAUUUCGAUACUCUAGAGGUAAUCCUAAAUGAGGCAAAACUAAAAUUGCAUAUAUGUUUUUCAUAAGAUGACUCGUAUUGUUAUGUUCUUAAUAAACCUUAUUUCUUGGUAUAUA